CCUAAGACCUAACCAAAGCGAGACUGCUCGCAUUGUUUCUUUGAAGGAUGACAAAUUUUACUUUCUCCAUCCAUCCUACCCCUCAAGUACAGGCACUUGAUGUUGACACACAUUCCAUCCUAGCGCCCCUCGACAGCUUUGAAGACAUUAUUUCCUACAGGUCAUUCCGAAUCGUGUAACAUACAUACACUGCAGAAGGAUUCGUCACUCCUCUCCCCCUCAAACAUUCGUGGGAUUGUGGAGGAGAACUCUCUCUUGACACCACUUAUUUCUUACCUAAGGCUCAGGAACUGCCAAACCAACAAUUCCCAGAUGUCAGCGUUACACGCUCCAAACGCGACUGCCAGUGCUCACGCUUGUCCCCUUCUUCAGCUUAAACCCCAGAACAAAACACUCCAACUCUGGAUGAUAAAGAGCCCGUUCUGAAA
This is a long non-coding RNA of Cygnus atratus (black swan), 428 nucleotides long. RefSeq lists it as uncharacterized. The transcript is spliced from 3 exons. Lineage: Eukaryota; Metazoa; Chordata; Aves; Anseriformes; Anatidae. The record is from RefSeq and is a predicted model, not a curated record.